Molecule: long non-coding RNA, 1147 nt
Organism: Oryzias latipes (Japanese medaka)
Lineage: Eukaryota; Metazoa; Chordata; Actinopteri; Beloniformes; Adrianichthyidae
Source: RefSeq, a predicted model, not a curated record
UUCAGUGUUUAAGAAGUAAGUAGUAGUAAGCUAACUUGAGUUAUUGCUAGCCCAAUACUGCUCAACUGUAACUCACUUUUAUGCUAGGCUUGCCAGAUUGGGCAGUUUCCCACCCAAAUCGGCCAGUUUGAAAGACUGUUUGUCAUGUAUGCUUGAUGAUCUUAAUGUUUGAAUGAAAACUUGCUGUUAUUAAAAAUUGUGAUUUUAACAUUUUUUAAGUUUGUGAGUUACUAUUGUUGGCAGAAAUUAAAAUAUAAUUUGUGAUCACUUCUAGUGAAUAAGGAUAGUAUGCAAGUACAAACCAGGCAUUAUAAAACUGCAGGAAAUGUACAAGAAGUAGAAGCCCAAUGUAGCUGAUGUAUACCAGUUUUUUUAUCUGGAGUUUCAGGUCAUAAGAGAAGAUACCAGAGCUUCAUCCAUCGUGGAUGUUUAUCCAGAGAAUUGCAUUGUGCUUGGAGAAAUGCAUAGUCCUUGCUCCCCACAAUGAUGAAUUCUUCGAGGAAGUCAAAAUGAGAUGGGAGGAUUGCUGCGCCAGGGUCAUUUUACGGAGUAUGAAAGAAGGCAAUAAAGCCACCAAUCAACAGGGAUAAAAUGGAAGCCAACUUUGCUCUGGUGAAGGCCCUUCCCAUUCUCUUUCCCUCGGUGGCACCUCCAUCAAAGAAACUGGGAUGUGCUAGUGAAGCUUUACUGCAUGUUCAGGAGUCAACAGAAGAUCCAAACGUCUUCAUCCAGAAGAGAGGCCUGUCAAGUCCAGUCUUGGUGUUCGAUGGCUGUAGAUGAAUCGUUGAUAUUGGUUUGAUGCCGGUGACGUUUGAAAAAGAAAAGCUUCACGAGGGUCUGAUUUUCUAAAUGCCAUAUUAUUACACACUACAUCUGACCUACACAAAAUGCGUGGCCACCCUUCUGUCAUUCAGACAGAUCCUUCAGGAUACAAUUCACAAGCGGGACAGCACCACCACAUGAAAGAGCAUUAAAGUAAAGAAUUUGUUGGAAGAUGAACUGCUUUUGCAGUUCAAUGUUUAUGUCUGCUCUUUAGAUGAGUAUUCUAAUUGUGUUGUUAAAGAAACUGUUGUAUUCCUAGAAAAUUUGGGUACAUUUGUAACACAAAUCUCAGUUUGUAAGUUAAAUAAAAGAAUCGAAAAGUGAA